GACGUAGGGUCCGAGCGUUGUCCGGAGUUACUGGGCGUAAAGGGCGCGUAGGCGGCUUUGUGCGUCACCCGUGAAAGCCCCCCGGCUCAACCGGGGGAGGGUCGGGUGAAACGGCGGAGCUGGAGGCAGCGAGAGGCUGGUGGAAUUCCCGGAGUAGUGGUGAAAUGCGUAGAGAUCGGGAGGAACACCGGUGGCGAAGGCGGCCAGCUGGCGCUGACCUGACGCUGAGGCGCGAAGGCGUGGGGAGCGAACGGGG
Molecule: ribosomal RNA, 256 nt
Filed under: uncultured bacterium
Lineage: Bacteria
Description: partial 16S ribosomal RNA
Rfam family: Bacterial small subunit ribosomal RNA
Source: RNAcentral